CUGGGCUUGACAUGCUCGGAAUCCUGCGGAGAUGCGGGAGUGCCCGCAAGGGAACCGAGACACAGGUGCUGCAUGGCUGUCGUCAGCUCGUGUCGUGAGAUGUUGGGUUAAGUCCCGCAACGAGCGCAACCCUCGUCCUUAGUUGCCAGCAUUCAGUUGGGCGCUCUAAGGAGACUGCCGGUGAUGAGCCGGAGGAAGGUGGGGAUGACGUCAAAUCAUCAUGGCCCUUACGGGCUGGGCUACACACGUGCUACAAUGGCGGUGACAGUGGGCAGCCACUCCGCAAGGAGAAGCUAAUCCCCAAAAACCGUCUCAGUUCGGAUUGUCCUCUGCAACUCGAGGGCAUGAAGUUGGAAUCGCUAGUAAUCGUGGAUCAGCAUGCCACGGUGAA
Molecule: ribosomal RNA, 391 nt
Filed under: uncultured bacterium
Lineage: Bacteria
Description: bacterial SSU rRNA
Rfam family: Bacterial small subunit ribosomal RNA
Source: RNAcentral